GGCGCGGUGGCCUAAUGGUAAGGCGUUGCUUUCCGGUGGCAAAGAUUGUGGGUUCGAGUCCCAUCCGCGUCG
RNAcentral lists this transfer RNA (72 nucleotides) under Thelocarpon impressellum. Its description in RNAcentral is "tRNA-Arg". It matches the Rfam family "tRNA". Rfam says of the family: Transfer RNA (tRNA) molecules are approximately 80 nucleotides in length. Their secondary structure includes four short double-helical elements and three loops (D, anti-codon, and T loops). RNAcentral also lists the same sequence under 2 other names. Lineage: Eukaryota; Fungi; Ascomycota; Thelocarpales; Thelocarpaceae. The record is from RNAcentral.